This 718-nucleotide non-coding RNA is filed under the name Pan troglodytes (chimpanzee). The record is from RNAcentral. Lineage: Eukaryota; Metazoa; Chordata; Mammalia; Primates; Hominidae.
ACAAGAAGGAAUCAGGAGGCAGAGCACAUGGUUAAAGCAUGAGAUGUGAAACCAGGAAGAACCAGGUCUGAACCUUAGCUCCACCAGUGGUAGCCCCAAACCUUGGUCCUUUCUGAGCCUGCUUCUUCAACCCUAAGGGAACGCUACACUUCCUUAGAAAUUAAGAGUGUGUGCUACACUGCUUUACCAGAGCAAGACCAAAAGCAGCUUCAAUUAUGGUACAACUGUGUGAAGACACAAUGCGAAACCACUCAAGAAUGCUCACUCAAAUGGAUUUUUACCAUGGAACUCGGAAACGGGACCCAGAAAGUUGUUUUCUGCAAGUGGAUGGAACAACACAAGCAAUCAGUAUCCUGAAACAGGCCCUGUUCCAACAAACUGACCCAGAAAGCAAGUAUGAGGACUCCUGUUUCCCUACGUACUCACUACUACAGCAAAGAUAUCAAACAUUGAUACCCACCAAUCUCUGGAUGGAAAAACAAAUCUCAGGAAUCGCUUGCAGGAGGCUCUGCACGUUCCUCAGAUUCAGAGUCACUGUCCUUUUGCCUGUGAAGCUCCUCACUUUCAGAGUCACUAGCAUUAAGAUUUAAGGGCUCAUCAUUCUCAGAGUCUGUCACAUGAUGUCCUUUGGGGAGGCCAUCUUCUCGAUCACUAGUUUCAUUCUGAAAAAUAAAGUGAGAAAAAAUUAGGAAAGUGCAAAAAAAAAAAAAACAUUAAU